UUUUGUCGAAGGACAGACCUUAAUUCACAAAA
This is a non-coding RNA of Cryomorphaceae bacterium, 32 nucleotides long. The record is from Rfam. NCBI's taxonomy places the organism in Bacteria, Pseudomonadati, Bacteroidota, Flavobacteriia, Flavobacteriales, Cryomorphaceae.